GUGCGAACCCCCGAGGGCAGAAACGGGCUGGGUCUGCGGCUCGGGGUGCGGGGUUCAGACCUCGCCGAGACCGGCUCGGGCCUGGCGGAGCCCGGGGAGCGGCUCAGCUGAGUCAGCCCUCUGAAUUCUCCAGUGUGGAGGGAAGGAGACAGGGAGGAGGCCACUUGUCAGCAUUCACAAAGCUUGUUGAGUGCCGCAGACUAGAAAGAAGGGGUGGGCCCUGCCCAAAAAGUGACCAGAACUUCUCUGGACCUGGAUGCCCAGACCCUCUUUCCAUCCUGGAGGACUGGUAACAUACCAUCAGCUGCCCAGGCCUGGGCUGGUUUUAGAUUCCUGACCAUUCCUGGUUUCAGAUUCGUGACCAUUCCUGAUGCCUGGAGGGACAUUCUGAAAUCCAGGGAGACACAAAAAUGGAACCAGUUAUCCUGGCUUUCCACUUGCCAGCAGUGUGAUUCUGGGGGAUUCCCUUCUCCUCUCUGAGCCUCAGUUUUCUCCUUCGUAAAAUAGGAUUUGUAAUUCCUGCCUACCCUCCAGUACUGAUAUGAAGAUUUAAUGAGUUUAUGUACACAUGGACCCUCUGUAAGCUAUGAACCACUGGAAAAUGUUAAGCGUUGCUCCAUUUAUAUGAAGUUCAAAGCAAUUUGAUGCUGUUAGAAGUCUGACCAGUGUUGCCUUUGGGGAGGGAAUGACUGGAAAGGGGGCAACAGGGGGACUUCUGGCUGCUGGUAAGGUGGUUUGGGGAUGGAAGGACUGGGGACAGGGCUGUGCUCAGUUUGUGAAGAUGCCUUAGGAUCUGUGCAUUUUUUUUCUGUAUAUGUUAUACUACAACAACAUGUUCCCCCAAAAAAGAAAAGAAAGAUCAGGCAUCCUGACCACAUUUUAUUCACUCACACGAUGGGCAUUCUGGAAUGCUCUAUCAACGAGACAGGAACUGGGCUGAGUAUUGGGGAUACAACAGUGAACAUGAUGUGAUCCUGACUCUGUGAAGAAAAGAGGAGAAAGGGCGUGGCUUUCUCACCUCUGAAGGAGGCACAUUGGCAGGGGAGGGGCUUGCCCAGAGCCACUCCCUGGGCUGGCAGCAGAACCAGGACUAAAAUGAAGGACUCCUAGUGCUAUGGCUGAGUCUCUUCCAUUCCACCAGGCUGACUGGGAGAGACAGGCCCUGGUCUUAUGCUGCUCAGGGGAGAACAGUGAGAAGGUUUGCUGCUAACUCUGACUCUAACCCCCAGCUCCUUGAGGAUCCUCAGAACUCACCUCCACCAAACAGUCUUCUAGGAACAAUUCUAUUCUAUAGAUACUAUGAUUACCACCCCAGCCCCACGUUACAGGUGAGGAAAAUUAAUGUUCAGAGAGGGAAAGUGACCUCCCCAAGGUGGCACAGCCAGUCUAAGAGGAUUUGGUCAUUUGCUGGCAUCAUGCUGCUUCUGUUGACAUUUGUGGCCUUGCUGUGCUCUCUGACAGAAACCUGGGUGGUUGUGUGGAAGGAAACAUGUUUCCCUUGUCAGGCUCCUAUAGACUGGAUGGUGAAGGUGCUUCCUCCAAAUACUCAGGUUUCUGGGCACAGCAGUCAGAGCAUCAGGGCUCAAACUGGCAGAAAAACUCCCUUAAACUGAAAAUACAGGGGGUAGAGCUAGCUUUAGUCAUGGCUGCAUUGACGAGCUCAGAUGAUGUUGUCAGGAUUCGGUGUCAUUCUCUUGGUCUCUCAAGACUGUUUCCCUCUCUGCUGGCCUCAUUCUCUGGCAGGCUCUCUCCUCAUGAUCACAGGGUGGCUUCCAGCAGCACCAGCCAGGCGUCCUAGUCUCUCAGCAGCUGCAACAGAAACAGGGACUCUUUCCUCCACAGUUCCAACAACAUUCCUCAAACCAAGUCUCAUUGGCUCUUACUGAGACAUGUAUCCAUUCCUUGGCCAAUCACUGUGGCCAAGGGUUCUGACUGGCCAGGCCAUGGACAGUGAGGGCCUCAGAGGUACCUGGCAUUUGAGUCUAGGUGUGAUUUCUAGCCAUCCCAACCUCAGGACUCAGCAAGGUCCAAGAAGAAUCCUCCCAAAUUUGUGGAGAGGCUUACAUUUCAUAGGCCUUCAAUAAAUGGCAACAGUUUUUAUUGGUAUUCUUCUUUCUCUGCUUUGCCUCUGUCAUCAUCUUUACAGAAUAGACAUUCAGUAAUGUCUAGCAUACAGUAGGUACCCGAAGAAUCCUUAGUGGUUGACUGAUUUGGGGGGGCAGUGGGGGGUUGCUGAUGCCAUGUACCAAGUCAGAUAGAGUCUGGACAAAUUGGACAGCCCACAGGCCCGCAGACAGGAUGAGACUCAUUAUGGGAACUAUUUAAUUUUUUAUUUUGUUUUGUCUUCCAUAACUGAGCUGAAGCUAUAGUCUAGAGCUGCUGGGGGCAUCACCAGACUCUCCAGGAACAGACUCCCCCAUCACACACAUCCACCCACCAGCCUAGGAGGAUAUAGUCGGGAAAGCAUCAGAAAGAUCCCCUUAGGAGGCUGGUCCGGGAGGAGCAGGCAGAGCUUGUCAGACCCAAUCAGACUAUUUCUUGACUGAUACAACCCUGCAGAGAGUUUGCCUGGGGUGGGGCUGGGGACCGGCAUGUCCCAGCCUGGUCCCUUUCUCCUUGGGCCACCAGCUACUCUGAUUCAAUUGGGCAGUUUGAGUUUCCAAGAGGGAUUGGAGGUCCAUUAGGUCUUGACUAACAAUAGCUGCUAUUAAUCAAGUGUGUGCUGGGCCCCAUAGUUGGCACUUUGCAUGAUUUAAAUACAAGACCAGUGGAAUAUAUUUUGGAUACUCACAUUAUCCCUGCUUUUGCUUUACUCUUUCUGCUAUUUUCCCCCUUUUCCCUGAUUUCAAGUGCAAUGAAUAUGUGCUCACUGUAAAAUAAUGUAAACAAUAUGGAAAUGAAUACAAUAGGGUAAAAGUCCUCCAUAAUCCUACUCCUCAAAUAUCAACCACUGUUAACUCCUUGAUGAGAUUCUGCAUUUAGCUGUAUUAACAGAUGUAUGUCUGUUUUGUGAGAGGAAGAACAUUGCAUUGUUCACAUGUUCGUAGACUCCUUUCCUCCCUGCCUUUGAGGAAGAAAACUCUGUAGUUCAGGUAGCUUCAACCUGGUUUUAUUCUGUGGAUCUGAGUAACAGGAGGAGGGAAGGAAAGGAAACAAGCUAAGAGAGAAAGGGCAGAAGUUUCUGGGUGGGAAAAGAUGGGAGAGGCUGGAGCAGAGGGCAAGGAGGUAAGAACAGUGCAGCCUGAGCUUUGAGAGAGCAUUUGAGGGACUCAGGAUACAGAUUUGGAGGCUGUCUGCAGAGGGUGGGAGGGAAGACGAGAAAAAGAAACAGAGGAAAAGGAAUGUUGAGAAGUUUUUUUGAGAUUAUGAAUAAAAUCACCUUUAACAUUUUCAAAAGAAUUAAAUACAUAUUUUCAUUGCCUUUUGGACUUCCCUGAUGGCACAAUGGUUAAGAAUCCGCCUGCCAAUGCAGGGGACACAGGUUCGAGCCCUGGGCUGGGAAGACCCCACAUGCCACGGAGCAACUAAGCCCGUGCUCCACAACUACUGA
Kogia breviceps (pygmy sperm whale) is the source of this 3550-nucleotide non-coding RNA. The record is from RefSeq and is a predicted model, not a curated record. Lineage: Eukaryota; Metazoa; Chordata; Mammalia; Artiodactyla; Physeteridae.